AAAAAGCUUCAAAACUGGGAUUAGAUACCCCACUAUGCCUGGCCCUAAACAUUGAUAGCAUAAUUCACCAGCUAUCCGCCCGGGUACUACGAGCAUUAGCUUAAAACCCAAAGGACUUGGCGGUGCUUUAGAUCCACCUAGAGGAGCCUGUUCUAGAACCGAUAACCCCCGUUCAACCUCACCCUCCCAUGUCUUACCCGCCUAUAUACCACCGUCGUCAGCUUACCCUGUGAAGGCCCUACAGUAAGCAUAAUUGGCACAGCCCAAAACGUCAGGUCGAGGUGUAGCGUAUGAGAGGGGAAGAAAUGGGCUACAUCCACUAUCACAGUGUAUACGGAUAACAUAAUGAAACUUAUAAUUGAAGGAGGAUUUAGCAGUAAGCAGAAAAUAGAGUGUUCUGCUGAAUUUGGCCCUGAAGCGCGCACACACCGCCCGUCACCCUCUGCAGUCA
Molecule: ribosomal RNA, 451 nt
Filed under: Pinjalo pinjalo (pinjalo snapper)
Lineage: Eukaryota; Metazoa; Chordata; Actinopteri; Lutjaniformes; Lutjanidae
Description: partial 12S ribosomal RNA
Rfam family: Bacterial small subunit ribosomal RNA
Source: RNAcentral